UACGUAGGGUGCGAGCGUUAAUCGGAAUUACUGGGCGUAAAGGGCGCGUAGGCGGCGCGGUAAGUCACUUGUGAAAUCUCUGAGCUUAACUCAGAACGGCCAAGUGAUACUGCAGUGCUAGAGUGUGGAAGGGGCAAUCGGAAUUCUUGGUGUAGCGGUGAAAUGCGUAGAUAUCAAGAGGAACACCUGAGGUGAAGACGGGUUGCUGGGCCAACACUGACGCUGAGGCGCGAAAGCCAGGGGAGCAAACGGG
This 253-nucleotide ribosomal RNA is filed under the name uncultured bacterium. RNAcentral's name for it is "partial 16S ribosomal RNA". It matches the Rfam family "Bacterial small subunit ribosomal RNA", at positions 524 to 776 of the family's 1533-position model. The record is from RNAcentral.